RNAcentral lists this ribosomal RNA (448 nucleotides) under uncultured Leptolinea sp. RNAcentral's name for it is "bacterial SSU rRNA". It matches the Rfam family "Bacterial small subunit ribosomal RNA", at positions 919 to 1382 of the family's 1533-position model. The record is from RNAcentral. Lineage: Bacteria; Bacillati; Chloroflexota; Anaerolineae; Anaerolineales; Anaerolineaceae.
ACCCGCACAAGCAGCGGAGCGUGUGGUUUAAUUCGAUGCUACACGAAGAACCUUACCAGGGUUUGACAUACUGGUGGUAGGAAUCCGAAAGGUGACCGACCUUCGGGAGCUUGUACAGGUGCUGCAUGGCUGUCGUCAGCUCGUGUCGUGAGAUGUCCGGUUAAGUCCGCUAACGAGCGCAACCCUCGCUGUGUGUUACAAGUGUCACACGGUACUGCCGGUCUUAAGCCGGAGGGAGGUGGGGAUGACGUCAAGUCAGCAUGGCCUUUAUGUCCUGGGCUACACACACGCUACAAUGGCCAACACAAUAGGUUGCUAAGCCGCGAGGUGGAGCCAAUCCUCAAAGUUGGUCUCAGUUCAGAUUGCAGGCUGCAACCCGCCUGCAUGAAGAUGGAGUUGCUAGUAACCGCAGGCCAGCUAUACUGCGGUGAAUACGUUCCCGGGGCUU